RNAcentral lists this ribosomal RNA (228 nucleotides) under Clostridioides difficile. Its description in RNAcentral is "partial 23S ribosomal RNA". It matches the Rfam family "Bacterial large subunit ribosomal RNA", at positions 1220 to 1448 of the family's 2925-position model. The record is from RNAcentral. Lineage: Bacteria; Bacillati; Bacillota; Clostridia; Peptostreptococcales; Peptostreptococcaceae.
UAUGAUGGGUAGGGGAGCUUCCCAUACGGGUUGAAGCAUGACCGUAAGGACAUGUGAACAGUAUGAGAGUGAGAAUGUUGGCAUGAGUAGCGAGAUGUGGGGGAGAAUACCACAGGCCGUAAACCCAAGGUUUCAAGGGGAAGGUUCGUCCGCCCUGGGUUAGUCGGGACCUAAGCUGAGGCCGAAAGGCGUAGGUGAUGAACAACAGGUUGAUAUUCCUGUACUACC